Molecule: ribozyme, 66 nt
Filed under: Aedes aegypti (yellow fever mosquito)
Lineage: Eukaryota; Metazoa; Arthropoda; Insecta; Diptera; Culicidae
Description: drz-agam-1 ribozyme
Rfam family: drz-agam-1 ribozyme
Source: Rfam by way of RNAcentral
UGCCCAGCAACUCCUAUCCCUUCCUCCUCGUGGUUCUGGCCGGGGUACGAGUAACCUUGGGGAAGA